GGUCAAUGAUGAUUGGUAAAAGGUCUGAUUGCGCUUAACCUCACAGCCCCUUCCUUGCCCUCAACUCCCAGCAGCCCAUCUUUUCCUCCUAUCACAUUUAAGUCAUGUGUAUGGGGUAAUGGAGCAGCUGAUAAUUUGGGAUUCUGUCAGUAUGUGUUCCUGAGAGAGAACGGUUCACAGCUGACAAAUAUCCAACAGACCCUGCUGUGCAGGAGAUUGAUGAGUGGCAGCUGUGGAUGUGAUGGUGCAUGAUCUCAAGUUUUCAAUCUGAGACC
This is a non-coding RNA of Manis pentadactyla (Chinese pangolin), 275 nucleotides long. RefSeq annotates it as small Cajal body-specific RNA 6. NCBI's taxonomy places the organism in Eukaryota, Metazoa, Chordata, Mammalia, Pholidota, Manidae. The record is from RefSeq and is a predicted model, not a curated record. The transcript has a single exon.